AUUGAACGCUGGCGGCAGGCCUAACACAUGCAAGUCGAACGGUAACAGGAAGCAGCUUGCUGCUUUGCUGACGAGUGGCGGACGGGUGAGUCAUGUCUGGGAAACUGCCCGAUGGAGGGGGAUAACUACUGGAAACGGUAGCUAAUACCGCAUAACGUCGCAAGAACAAAGAGGGGGGCCUUAGGGCCUCUUGCCAUCGGAUGUGCCCAGCUGGGCAUCGCUAGUAGGUGGGGUAACGGCUCACCUAGGCGACUAUCCCUAGAUGGUCGGAGAGGAGGACCAGCCACACGGGAACUGGGACACGGUCCAUACUCCUACGGGAGGCAGCAGUGGGGAAUAUUGCACAAUGGGCGCAAGCCUGAUGCAGCCAUGCCGCGUGUAUGAAGAAGGCCUUCGGGUUGUAAAGUACGUUCAGCGGGGAGGAAGGGAGUAAAGUUAAUACCUUUGCUGAUUGACGUUACCCGCAGAAGAAGCACCGGCUAACUCCGUG
This 490-nucleotide ribosomal RNA is filed under the name uncultured bacterium. RNAcentral's name for it is "partial 16S ribosomal RNA". It matches the Rfam family "Bacterial small subunit ribosomal RNA", at positions 30 to 507 of the family's 1533-position model. The record is from RNAcentral.